CAAUAACUUGUUAGGUGAGCCCAUAUGACUUAGAGAUCAAGUCGCUGCAACAUGCUUAAAGAAGCAUCUGGAUAAAGAGUUAUCCACACAUCGAUGUUCAUUCGUGUUACCAAUAACUGUUAGGUGAGGUGCACAGCAUCGGUGGGACCGCAGCACCUAUUAAAAACUCAAUUGUCGCAUUAGAAUUUUUAUUUCUCCAUCCAG
RNAcentral lists this long non-coding RNA (204 nucleotides) under Elaeis guineensis (African oil palm). Its description in RNAcentral is "long non-coding RNA (EGUI_LNC055978)". The record is from RNAcentral. Lineage: Eukaryota; Viridiplantae; Streptophyta; Magnoliopsida; Arecales; Arecaceae.